UGGAAGAAGGAGUUUAUUAUGGUUCCUG
RNAcentral lists this non-coding RNA (28 nucleotides) under Mus musculus (house mouse). The record is from RNAcentral. Lineage: Eukaryota; Metazoa; Chordata; Mammalia; Rodentia; Muridae.